This 471-nucleotide ribosomal RNA is filed under the name uncultured bacterium. RNAcentral's name for it is "bacterial SSU rRNA". It matches the Rfam family "Bacterial small subunit ribosomal RNA", at positions 1 to 524 of the family's 1533-position model. The record is from RNAcentral.
UAGAGUUUGAUCAUGGCUCAGAACGAACGCUGGCGGCAGGCCUAACACAUGCAAGUCGAACGGGACCUUCGGGUCUAGUGGCGGACGGGUGAGUAACGCGUGGGAACGUGCCCUUUGGUUCGGAAUAGCCCCGGGAAACUGGGAGUAAUACCGGAUGUGCUCGAGAGAGGAAAGAUUUAUCGCCAAAGGAUCGGCCCGCGUUGGAUUAGAUAGUUGGUGAGGUAACGGCUCACCAAGCCGACGAUCCAUAGCUGGUUUGAGAGGAUGAUCAGCCACAUUGGGACUGAGACACGGCCCAAACUCCUACGGGAGGCAGCAGUGGGGAAUAUUGGACAAUGGGCGCAAGCCUGAUCCAGCCAUGCCGCGUGAUCGAUGAAGGCCUUAGGGUUGUAAAGAUCUUUCAGUGGGGAAGAUAAUGACUGUACCCACAGAAGAAGCCCCGGCUAACUCCGUGCCAGCAGCCGCGGUAAU